This 71-nucleotide transfer RNA is filed under the name Myonycteris brachycephala (Sao Tome collared fruit bat). RNAcentral describes it as "tRNA-Lys". It matches the Rfam family "tRNA". Rfam says of the family: Transfer RNA (tRNA) molecules are approximately 80 nucleotides in length. The record is from RNAcentral. Lineage: Eukaryota; Metazoa; Chordata; Mammalia; Chiroptera; Pteropodidae.
CAUUAAGAAGCUAAGUCCAAAGCGUUAACCUUUUAAGUUAAAGAACGGAAGUAUUAACCUUCCCUUAAUGA